This 253-nucleotide ribosomal RNA is filed under the name uncultured bacterium. RNAcentral describes it as "partial 16S ribosomal RNA". It matches the Rfam family "Bacterial small subunit ribosomal RNA", at positions 524 to 776 of the family's 1533-position model. The record is from RNAcentral.
UACGGGGGGGGCAAGCGUUGUUCGGAAUUACUGGGCGUAAAGGGCUCGUAGGCGGCCAACUAAGUCAGACGUGAAAUCCCUCAGCUUAACCGGGGAACUGCAUCUGAUACUGGAUGGCUUGAGUUCGGGAGAGGGAUGCGGAAUUCCAGGUGUAGCGGUGAAAUGCGUAGAUAUCUGGAGGAACACCGGUGGCGAAGGCGGCAUCCUGGACCGGCACUGACGCUGAGGAGCGAAAGCCAGGGGAGCAAACGGG